UACGAAGGGGGCUAGCGUUGUUCGGAAUUACUGGGCGUAAAGCGCGCGCAGGCGGUCCUUCAAGUCAGAGGUGAAAGCCCAGAGCUCAACUCUGGAAUGGCCUUUGGGACUGCAAGGCUGGAGUGCGGCAGAGGAGACUGGAAUUCCUGGUGUAGCAGUGAAAUGCGUAGAUAUCAGGAGGAAUACCGAUGGCGAAGGCAGGUCUCUGGGCUGACACUGACGCUCAUGCACGAAAGCGUGGGGAGCAAACAGG
This 253-nucleotide ribosomal RNA is filed under the name uncultured bacterium. RNAcentral describes it as "partial 16S ribosomal RNA". It matches the Rfam family "Bacterial small subunit ribosomal RNA", at positions 524 to 776 of the family's 1533-position model. The record is from RNAcentral.